AAUAGAUACCCGGGUAGUCCACGCCGUAAACGAUGAGUGCUAAGUGUUAGAGGGUUUCCGCCCUUUAGUGGCUGCAGCUAACGCAUUAAGCACUCCGCCUGGGGAGUACGGUCGCAAGACUGAAACUCAAAGGAAUUGACGGGGGCCCGCACAAGCGGUGGAGCAUGUGGUUUAAUUCGAAGCAACGCGAAGAACCUUACCAGGUCUUGACAUCCCACUGACCGGUAUAGAGAUAUACCUUUCCCUUCGGGGGCAGUGGUGACAGGUGGUGCAUGGUUGUCGUCAGCUCGUGUCGUGAGAUGUUGGGUUAAGUCCCGCAACGAGCGCAACCCUUGAUCUUAGUUGCCAGCAUUUAGUUGGGCACUCUAAGGUGACUGCCGGUGACAAACCGGAGGAAGGUGGGGAUGACGUCAAAUCAUCAUGCCCCUUAUGACCUGGGCUACACACGUGCUACAAUGGAUGGUACAAAGGGCUGCAAGACUGCGAAGUCAAGCCAAUCCCAUAAAACCAUUCUCAGUUCGGAUUGCAGG
Molecule: ribosomal RNA, 530 nt
Filed under: uncultured bacterium
Lineage: Bacteria
Description: bacterial SSU rRNA
Rfam family: Bacterial small subunit ribosomal RNA
Source: RNAcentral